AGAGUUUGAUCAUGGCUCAGAUUGAACGCUGGCGGCAGGCUUAACACAUGCAAGUCGAGCGGGGGAAGGUAGCUUGCUACUGGACCUAGCGGCGGACGGGUGAGUAAUGCUUAGGAAUCUGCCUAUUAGUGGGGGACAACAUCUCGAAAGGGAUGCUAAUACCGCAUACGUCCUACGGGAGAAAGCAGGGGAUCUUCGGACCUUGCGCUAAUAGAUGAGCCUAAGUCGGAUUAGCUAGUUGGUGGGGUAAAGGCCUACCAAGGCGACGAUCUGUAGCGGGUCUGAGAGGAUGAUCCGCCACACUGGGACUGAGACACGGCCCAGACUCCUACGGGAGGCAGCAGUGGGGAAUAUUGGACAAUGGGGGGAACCCUGAUCCAGCCAUGCCGCGUGUGUGAAGAAGGCCUUAUGGUUGUAAAGCACUUUAAGCGAGGAGGAGGCUACUUUAGUUAAUACCUAGAGAUAGUGGACGUUACUCGCAGAAUAAGCACCGGCUAACUCUGUGCCAGCAGCCGCGGUAAUACAGAGGGUGCGAGCGUUAAUCGGAUUUACUGGGCGUAAAGCGUGCGUAGGCGGCUUAUUAAGUCGGAUGUGAAAUCCCCGAGCUUAACUUGGGAAUUGCAUUCGAUACUGGUGAGCUAGAGUAUGGGAGAGGAUGGUAGAAUUCCAGGUGUAGCGGUGAAAUGCGUAGAGAUCUGGAGGAAUACCGAUGGCGAAGGCAGCCAUCUGGCCUAAUACUGACGCUGAGGUACGAAAGCAUGGGGAGCAAACAGGAUUAGAUACCCUGGUAGUCCAUGCCGUAAACGAUGUCUACUAGCCGUUGGGGCCUUUGAGGCUUUAGUGGCGCAGCUAACGCGAUAAGUAGACCGCCUGGGGAGUACGGUCGCAAGACUAAAACUCAAAUGAAUUGACGGGGGCCCGCACAAGCGGUGGAGCAUGUGGUUU
RNAcentral lists this ribosomal RNA (945 nucleotides) under Acinetobacter baumannii 1406750. RNAcentral describes it as "bacterial SSU rRNA". It matches the Rfam family "Bacterial small subunit ribosomal RNA", at positions 8 to 947 of the family's 1533-position model. Lineage: Bacteria; Pseudomonadati; Pseudomonadota; Gammaproteobacteria; Moraxellales; Moraxellaceae. The record is from RNAcentral.